CACCUUUCCCAUUUUAUAAUUUUUCUUCAGUGAAUAUAGAUGACAUCAUAUAUAUUGUACAUCAUACAUACACAUAAAAACAAAAAUGUAAAGGCUUUAUUUACACUUUAAUAGGGAAGGAGAUAGUAGGAAAGUCAGCAGCUCAGGGGUCACAGCAGGACGGGCUGGGCCUGCCUGUCUGUGCUCUGGGCAGGGGACUCACAGAGCCUUUGCUUCAUGUCUCAGGACCCUGCUCUGUGGGCGGCCAAGCAGCGUCUUUCCCUUCUUUCUGGGGUGUGCUCAUUAAUUCACUUAUUACUGUCUUGUGAGCUUUAAUGCUUUCUAAAUGAUGGUUUUUCCAAGUAAUACGACAUUUCAAGCUAUUUCAGUGGGAGAAGUUGUCCAUACAAUCCAGCCUGCCUGCUUCAGAAAUGGAAAUUUGAAGGCAAAAUAGUUCAGUGAAAAGAUGAUUAGUCCUAAAGGAGAAGAUCAGAACCUGAUCAUUCAUGGUCUGAGAAUGAUCUGUCAGGUGAAAUCAUCCCUCUGAGGGCAUCUUCCUUGUGCUGAGCUGCUCCAGACUGAAGUAUGGAUGACACAGAGAGACCAGCAUUGGGAGCUCCUAGUCAACCAUCACCUGACUUCAACUGGGACCUCAGUAAGAUUGUUGCCUUAACAUCCUUGUCUAGCAGGUUUUCCAUCUGCUUGUUCUCACAGACAUUUCUAUUGAUUGAUUUUUUUUCCCUUUCAGUGGUCAUACUUUCCUGAUUCUUUGUAGGCUGGUGAAUUUUUGAAAACUGGAUAUUUGAACCUUAGGUGGUAACUCUGGAAAUCAGACUCUUCCCUUUCCCAGAGUUUACAGAACUUUGUUGGUUGCUAUUUUUUGCUCUUGU
This is a long non-coding RNA of Lutra lutra (Eurasian river otter), 869 nucleotides long. RefSeq lists it as uncharacterized. The record is from RefSeq and is a predicted model, not a curated record. NCBI's taxonomy places the organism in Eukaryota, Metazoa, Chordata, Mammalia, Carnivora, Mustelidae. The transcript has 3 exons.